This 889-nucleotide long non-coding RNA is filed under the name Gouania willdenowi (blunt-snouted clingfish). RNAcentral describes it as "lncRNA (ENSGWIG00000004166.1)". The record is from RNAcentral. Lineage: Eukaryota; Metazoa; Chordata; Actinopteri; Blenniiformes; Gobiesocidae.
GUUGGUUUGAAGCAAACCCUGGAGGUGCAGUCCAUGCUGCAAGAUGGUGUUUCUUUGUGUGCUCCUGCUCAUCAUCUGUCCAUCUGUGACUUCAGAGAGAUUCAUCUACAAAGAGUAUGGCAACAGUGUGACUUUUACAUGUUCCUCCAUGGGAUGUCCCAGCAGCACAGACGAGUAUGUUGCGAUGUAUGUCUACCAUGAAUUUAUCACACGGAAAGAAGUGCUUUUCUCAAGCAAAUAUAGUCCAGAUUACACUGUGGCUGAGCGACCACGAUACAAGGGAAGAAUUCAAACCAGCAGUUCCUUCAGAAACCGAUCCAUCACCAUCAGUAAUCUGACUGUGGAUGACUCUGGAGUCUACACAUGUGUCUACAAGGACGAUGCUCACAGACUGAGCCAGUGUGAUCUCUACUUUGUUGUGAUAAAAGGAAACGCAUCGUGUCCAUUGACUACAGGCAAAGAGAAGACUACACUUCUGAUGUUGGUAGUUUUAGCAUGUCUCGUCGGCAUCAUGAUAACCACAAUGAUUCUCCUGUUUGUCUUUCUGAAGGUGAAGCAAUGGAGAAAAAGCAGGAAAUUAAGAAGAGGUGCAUCUCAGCUUUCCAAUGUGUACGAGGUGAUGACCAAAAAUGGUUUCCAACAUGUGGAAGUUCCAGAGCAGUUCUCAGAAAGCCCAAUUGAUGUAGAGUAAGAUAGACAUUGUUUUUAACCUUUUAUGUUAAGCUCUUUUCUAAAAGAACGUAACAAGAAAAGGCAAAAAGGCUGAAACGAGUAACUAACUAUUAUUUAGAUACUGAUGUAGUCAACAAUCUGUGUUUUUCGCUUUUGAGGGGCUACGUGGGUGGAAAUGAAACUACUCUGAAAUAAAAAUGUGCAUUGAUGUUUAACA